RNAcentral lists this ribosomal RNA (510 nucleotides) under uncultured bacterium. RNAcentral's name for it is "bacterial SSU rRNA". It matches the Rfam family "Bacterial small subunit ribosomal RNA", at positions 791 to 1301 of the family's 1533-position model. The record is from RNAcentral.
UAGUCCAUGCUGUAAACGAUGUCUACUAGCUGUUGGAUUCCUAGAGGAUUUAGUGGCGCAGUUAACGCACUAAGUAGACCGCCUGGGGAGUACGGCCGCAAGGUUAAAACUCAAAUGAAUUGACGGGGGCCCGCACAAGCGGUGGAGCAUGUGGUUUAAUUCGACGCAACGCGAAGAACCUUACCAGGCCUUGACAUCCCGAGAAGAAGCCAGAGAUGGUUUUAUGCCUCGGGAACUCUAAGACAGGUGCUGCAUGGCUGUCGUCAGCUCGUGUUGUGAAAUGUUGGGUUAAGUCCCGCAACGAGCGCAACCCUUAUCCUUGUUUGCCAGCACGUAAUGGUGGGAACUCCAGGGAGACUGCCGGUGAUAAACCGGAGGAAGGUGGGGACGACGUCAAGCCAUCACGGCCCUUACGAGUAGGGCUACACACGUGCUACAAUGGUGCAUACAGAGGGCAGCGAGACCGCGAGGUGGAGCGAAUCCCAGAAAGUGCAUCGUAGUCCGGAUUGG